AGAGUUUGAUCCUGGCUCAGGAUGAACGCUAGCGGCAGGCUUAACACAUGCAAGUCGAGGGGCAUCGGGAGGGAAGCUUGCUUUCCUUGCCGGCGACCGGCGCACGGGUGAGUAACACGUAUGCAACCUGCCCUCUUCAGGGGGACAACCUUCCGAAAGGGAGGCUAAUCCCGCGUAUAUCGGUUUCGGGCAUCCGGGAUCGAGGAAAGAUUCAUCGGAAGAGGAUGGGCAUGCGGCGCAUUAGCUGGACGGCGGGGUAACGGCCCACCGUGGCGACGAUGCGUAGGGGUUCUGAGAGGAAGGUCCCCCACACUGGUACUGAGACACGGACCAGACUCCUACGGGAGGCAGCAGUGAGGAAUAUUGGUCAAUGGGAGAGAUCCUGAACCAGCCAAGCCGCGUGAGGGAAGACGGCCCUAUGGGUUGUAAACCUCUUUUGUCGGAGAACAAAACCCGGGACGUGUCCCGGACUGCGUGUAUCCGAAGAAAAAGCAUCGGCUAACUCCGUGCCAGCAGCCGCGGUAAUACGGAGGAUGCGAGCGUUAUCCGGAUUUAUUGGGUUUAAAGGGUGCGUAGGCGGUCCGUUAAGUCAGCGGUAAAAUUGCGGGGCUCAACCCCGUCGAGCCGUUGAAACUGGCAGACUUGAGUUGGCGAGAAGUACGCGGAAUGCGCGGUGUAGCGGUGAAAUGCAUAGAUAUCGCGCAGAACUCCGAUUGCGAAGGCAGCGUACCGGCGCCAGACUGACGCUGAGGCACGAAAGCGUGGGGAUCGAACAGGAUUAGAUACCCUGGUAGUCCACGCAGUAAACGAUGAAUGCUGGUUGUCCGGGUCGAAUGAGAUCUGGGCGGCGAAGCGAAAGCGAUAAGCAUUCCACCUGGGGAGUACGCCGGCAACGGUGAAACUCAAAAGAAUUGACGGGGGCCCGCACAAGCGGAGGAACAUGUGGUUUAAUUCGAUGAUACGCGAGGAACCUUACCCGGGCUCAAACGGGAGUGGAAUGGACCAGAGACGGUUCAGCCUACGGGCCGCUUCCGAGGUGCUGCAUGGUUGUCGUCAGCUCGUGCCGUGAGGUGUCGGCUUAAGUGCCAUAACGAGCGCAACCCCCGCCGGCAGUUGCUAACGGGCAAUGCCGAGGACUCUGCCGGGACUGCCGCCGCAAGGCGAGAGGAAGGCGGGGAUGACGUCAAAUCAGCACGGCCCUUACGUCCGGGGCGACACACGUGUUACAAUAGGCGGUACAGCGGGAAGCCAGGCGGCGACGCCGAGCGGAACCCGAAAGCCGUUCUCAGUUCGGAUCGGAGUCUGCAACCCGACUCCGUGAAGCUGGAUUCGCUAGUAAUCGCGCAUCAGCCAUGGCGCGGUGAAUACGUUCCCGGGCCUUGCACACACCGCCCGUCA
This 1398-nucleotide ribosomal RNA is filed under the name uncultured bacterium. RNAcentral describes it as "16S ribosomal RNA". It matches the Rfam family "Bacterial small subunit ribosomal RNA". The record is from RNAcentral.